Long non-coding RNA from Grus americana (Whooping crane), 2212 nucleotides. RefSeq lists it as uncharacterized. The transcript has 4 exons. The record is from RefSeq and is a predicted model, not a curated record. NCBI's taxonomy places the organism in Eukaryota, Metazoa, Chordata, Aves, Gruiformes, Gruidae.
GUUCGGCCGGGAGGCUCCGCCGCGGCUCCGCAGCCCUCACUCCCCGUAGAGCCGCCGGUUCGAGUCCCGCGUCCGCGCCCCCGCCUGGCUGAGGAUUUUGGAAAUCCGAGGCUCGGGAACACGGUUGGGUCUUUCUGCAGCCCCGCGGGAAGAGCAAGGUCUGGAGGGAAGGAUGUGCAUUUGAAAAUCAGACGCCCCUCUUCUCUUUUGGACAAUAUUGAUGAAAACACAGAUUCAUCCCUGUGGGGGUGGGGGUCAAUCUUCAAAAUUCAUCUUAAAAGCAGCAAACGCGUACAAAAGGAGCUCUGGGCACAUGGAUAGUCCAUUGAGUGGUUCCGCUUUGCACAAGGAUAAGUGUUUAAAUCCCCUCCCACCUUCUGUGUCCUGAAACUUCUCUGAUUGACUAUGAUGGAACAAAGCGUAUUUGCCAAAAGAAAACGCUGUCUGUUCUCCUGCAGCUUAGAUGAGAAGCCUAGCCUGGUCAGCAGCCAGUGACUAGUCUGGGAGUCAUGAUUUGCUGUUGAUUUAUGGAGGGGAAGCUGACUGCCACUUAAUGCAUUACCCAGAGACUAACUUGAAACAAUAGGAUAGCUGCAAUUCAGGAACAUCCGGACCAAAUGAAGCACAAUGGAGAAGAUUUAGCAAUUCAUGUUUUGUGUGUUGGAUUAGAAAGGUUUUCCUGAUGUGGGGAUGGAUCUGUUAGUCGAUGGAAGGACUGCCUUAGCAUUUUGUCAUAGGUUUCAUUAUUUUGAACAAUGGCAUUUAUUAUUUAUGCAGUAAUCUGACUGUAAUUCCUUAUAAUGGCACUGUGUCAGAAGACAUCAUCUUUGCAGCUGCUUCCCUCUUCACUGUGGCACUGGAAACAGCUUUGCCCUUUGGAUACCUGUCAUCUCAACGGGCCAUCAUUCCGUUUUACAGCCAAGUGACCUGGAUAACGCUGCAGUGCUCUGUAGUCUGCACAAAGUCCAAUCAACCUGGUCUGGGUUUGUGCAUUAAAUAUCGUGAGGGAUUAGUUCCAGCUGCAGUUUUGCUGAGAUAGCCUGACUUCCAGUUUAGCAGUGACAGCGAUUCAUAAAUCCUCACAGAGAAGCCUCUGACUCACAAUUCAGGAUUACCAGCUGAGGCAGUUUGAGAUGUUGCUGUCGCCAGCUGGUUUUUUACCACUGGUUUGCUGUGAUUACCCUGCCCAUGGCAGCAGAGGAGGCAGAAGUAACCGUGUGUCGGUGUCUCAGUUACUCCAGCUGCAUUUCUGUUUUGGCAUCAUCAUCCAAACCCAGUCUCAGUCCCUGCUGUUCUCUAAUACGCUGGGCAGUGAAGCCUAACAGCUGAUGUGCGGGCAUCCUUCCCUACUCGCCCGCGUCUGCUGUGGCACAGCAGCUUUCGACACAGAGACAAGAUGGACAAGUGCAAAUAGAGAAUUUCAUCCAUCGAAGUCCUGGGGCUCUAGUUCAUCCCAAGUCCUAUGCUGGUGUCCACAAAUACCCUAUCAAAGGCCCCCUCAUUCUGCUGACUCCCAACUACCAUCUCCAAAAGAUACGUCUUUCAAAGGACUGGCAUAGUCCCCAGAGCAGGAGAUGCAGCAGGAGCUUAUAUCAAUUCUCCCCUGAACUGCUCACUGCACUCCUCUGAGGAGAGAGCAUGCAACGAGUCCCAGUUGUUCUGUGUUCUUACAGAAGCAGGUCAUAGCAAUUAGGCUGUGUGAAACGACCUGGGAAAAUAUCUUGUACAGUCUGAGUUACUCAGUAACUAGACCUGUUAACAGAGAAAGUACAAAACAAGCACUAACUCCACGUUAGGAAUCUAAGUUGAAAUUGUUUCAAUUGAGGAAAACCAAGGAGUUUCAUUUUCUAGACCUUCAUUUUCCUUUUUUUUAGCUUGUUUCAGCACGCUUUUCAGCCUCUUCUAACAAAAGAGGUCUCAAACAUUAGUGAAAAUUGCCAGUUAAUGAUUCUUAGUCAAGCUUUUAUAGACAUGAAACUAGUGCUCGGAAAGAUGUACAGGACCUGAAACACUCAUAAGACUUGCCAGUUCUGAAAUCCUGCUCUUGAUACUGUAGUUGUAUUGCAUCUUGUAUUUAGAGAAGGAAAGAGAAACCGUUCUGUUGUUUGUGAUUAAAACAUAACUAAACAACACGGCUGCCAACAUUAGUGCUUUUGUGUGGUUUUCUGCCGCUGAGGAGGCUAUCAGAGGGUGGGCCGCUGCAGGUAACAAA